This is a long non-coding RNA of Sorex fumeus (smoky shrew), 412 nucleotides long. RefSeq lists it as uncharacterized. The record is from RefSeq and is a predicted model, not a curated record. The transcript has 3 exons. NCBI's taxonomy places the organism in Eukaryota, Metazoa, Chordata, Mammalia, Eulipotyphla, Soricidae.
GCGUCGGGAGAAGCACGGUGCCCUGCUGAAAACGUGUUAAGAGCCAGAGCCCUCAGAUCUGCCGCCCACUGAGUCGCAGACUUCCAAGCCUGCUCCAGCCUUGACAAAAGCCGCGACUCUGAGCAUCCAAAUGACAGUGAUGCCUUCUAAAUGAACCGAAACGUAACCACAGCGCAUUUCUAGUCCACGAAACGCAGGAAUAAGAAUGCCCUGUGAUUUGUUGCUGUGGCUACUGUUUGAAGAUGAUAGCUUUGCAUCUCAGCUUCCUUACUUUUGUGCUCCAAACCUGUGCUAAAACCACCAUGAAAUGCCUGACUGCUGCACAUAGAAAAGGUUUAUGGCCAACACCUGGCAGUGCUCAGGGGCUACUCCUGGCUCUUAGUUCAAGGGUCACUUCUGCCAUCCCUUGGAA